GGCGGUGCAUUUUGUUUCGAUGCUAUAGGUAGCUGCUUGCGCUUACUUCACUUCAGUGCAGUGCAGACGGUCUACUUUGUAUGCUGGAUCGGGAAUUCGACAACGGACAACAUGAUCUGACUGUGAAUUUGUUUCGGAAAUAUUCUUGUCAAAAUGUCGACUGCAAACUUAACUGAUCUAGAGUGUGAACUUACACAAUGUGGAGAGGAUACGUGUAGAAAUAGAUAUUGGUAUGUUUUCUUGAGUUCCAGUUUGAUAACUUUUUUUGGCGGCUUGUUGGGAAUUUUGGUUGUUCGACUAGCGGUGCUACUAGGAUGCAGGCGUCGGGUGUCGGACAGCCACCGGGCCAUCUCCACGAGCAAUGUGGCGAUGGAGCGCCCGGGGAUGAUGCAGAAUAAUGAAGACGUCCCAUGGAUGACAGCAAUUCGUGAAUAUUCGGCGAGUUUGAUAUCUGCCCAAACGAAGAUUGGAAAGUGCCUGCUGGUCGUUCAUUUUUCCCUUAGUAUGGGUUCCCUUAUCUGCUAUAUACUUGACACCACCAAGUAAGUACCAAGACAGUUGCUUUCACACCAUUGCAUUAUUUUCACCCUCGCCUACAUGUACAUUGUACAUGUUUUGUAGCUAGAAAACGUGAGCCACGGCUUUCAUGUGCAUUGGUUUGCACUCCUUGGCUUGUUCACACUUACACAAACAGUCCUGUUCACAUUGGUCAUCAUUUUUUUAGGAACUAGAUUUCGUGCAUGCUAUUUUCUUGAAGUUCUAGGUUUUUUUCGUGAAAGGGGUGAGAAGCCGGGAACUUCGGAUGUUCAGAUGUAUGCAACAACAAAUUGUUGAAAAACCUUUGAUUAGAACUGCACUAAGGUCACAAUUGAUGAAGUGUGAACGGUUCUAAUGUAGAAUGUGAAUAGCUCUGUUUAUUUAUAGAGUGUGAACAGUGAUGAUGCAAGGCAAACCAAUGAUACAUGUGAGCUUGAUAAUGUUGCUUGCAAGGACUGCAUUUGCAUGCUUAGUCUGCUUCAAGACUUUGAGUUCAUAUUUUUUAUGAAACCCAU
Molecule: long non-coding RNA, 1052 nt
Filed under: Strongylocentrotus purpuratus (purple sea urchin)
Lineage: Eukaryota; Metazoa; Echinodermata; Echinoidea; Camarodonta; Strongylocentrotidae
Description: uncharacterized LOC115921654, transcript variant X2
Source: RNAcentral